GAUGAACGCUGGCGGCGUGCCUAAUACAUGCAAGUCGAGCGAACGGACGAGAAGCUUGCUUCUCUGAUGUUAGCGGCGGACGGGUGAGUAACACGUGGAUAACCUACCUAUAAGACUGGGAUAACUUCGGGAAACCGGAGCUAAUACCGGAUAAUAUUUUGAACCGCAUGGUUCAAACGUGAAAGACGGUCUUGCUGUCACUUAUAGAUGGAUCCGCGCUGCAUUAGCUAGUUGGUAAGGUAACGGCUUACCAAGGCAACGAUGCAUAGCCGACCUGAGAGGGUGAUCGGCCACCCUGGAACUGAGACACGGUCCAGACUCCUACGGGAGGCAGCAGUAGGGAAUCUUCCGCGAUGGGCGAAAGCCUGACGGAGCAACGCCGCGUGAGUGAUGAAGGUCUUCGGAUCGUAAAACUCUGUUAUUAGGGAAGAACAUAUGUGUAAGUAACUGUGCACAUCUUGACGGUACCUAAUCAGAAAGCCACGGCUAACUACGUG
This 497-nucleotide ribosomal RNA is filed under the name uncultured bacterium. RNAcentral's name for it is "partial 16S ribosomal RNA". It matches the Rfam family "Bacterial small subunit ribosomal RNA", at positions 28 to 507 of the family's 1533-position model. The record is from RNAcentral.